AUCGAAGUACCCACCUGUAAGGAUAUCGCGUCUGUCUCCUGACUGCAAAAGAAUGUCGACAGGGCCUAUAGAGGGUCCACCGGGUUAGUAUCUAACCCACAACUAAUAAUCACAGUAUCCAUAACCCCACAAACAAUUUCAUGAAGAUCGGUUUCCAAUACCGAUUACCGUAACUCGCCUGAAGUCCCGAAAACCUUACCGGGACGCCGUCGGGACCCACUAAGUGUCCCGAAACUCACCAACUCGUACCACAAGUCACCCGCUGCCACAAAAUACACCAAUUUGAAUGUCUUGGCAGUAAACACAAGGUAACACAACCCAACAAUUAUCGUUCGGAUAAUUGUUCGGAUCCGGGUUCCCGGAAGUGUCUAUUUCGACACCGGAACCCACCGUCUCUCACCCGUCAUCAUCAAACCCACAAAAUGAUGAUGGUGACGAGCCAACAAGGCUCAGCGACAACUCAACGGACAACCAAACCACGUCGGAAGAAAUCCGAAUCGAAUCUGCGUUCUUUCGGCGAAUUUCGCCGAAAAACGCACCGUAACCGACUCUUCAAUUUCGGCAAAGGCUAUCGGAUCAUGGACAAUCAGUCCAGAGGUUACCACACACUCCAACGCAUUGCCCACAGUAGCCACAAGGUGCACAAUUGCAUAAAAGUCCCUCAAAUUACAUAAAAUCCUAUCAUUUUAUGUGAUUUGAGCGAUCAAGUGGCUAGUUCACGCAAACCGAGGACUUCCAAGGUCUGCCGAGACACGUAUAGCUUGGUCUCGACGUACCGGAGGCCGUGCUCAUGAUCUGGAGCACAACGGCUCACUGUGGGAAGCGCGGGAGCAACCCGAAGGUUCAGCGAAAAGCGCAUAGUCAAGGGAGAUCGCGCCGAACAGGACUAACCGGACACUGCUGAUCCAAAAUAAGGUGAGCACCGUGAUCAGCACUGACUAGCGGUCACCGUGCUCACCUCCGGAGGCAUCGGAACAGCCUCGGAUCACCGAAAAAGCACGCACAAACACAGAACAACAGCCAAAAAGGCUCCAUAGGGUCGACACCGCAAAAAUAGCGGAACGGGGCCUUCCCGACAGAAACCAAGGUGAGCACGAUGAUUAGAAACUUGCCAGGAUCAUCAUGCUCCCUUCCGUAGAGAUCGGGGAGGCUCGAGAAGCUCGGAAUAGUAAACCAUCCUAACUAAGCCCUAUCUCGGGCUUGGCCGGAGCAAGCUUGCUCCGGCCGGCUUCCGGCGGCACGGCGGCGCUCGCGGAGGCUAGGGAUGGGUGCGGGGGAGGUGAGGAGUGAGGUGCUCACCUCAGACAGCGGCUGGAAGCGGCGGCGGCGGCGGAGGAACAAGACAAGCCCGCACAGCUAGGGCACGGGUUCCGCUGGCACCUGCGGC
RNAcentral lists this long non-coding RNA (1387 nucleotides) under Ananas comosus (pineapple). RNAcentral describes it as "long non-coding RNA (ACOM_LNC028939)". Lineage: Eukaryota; Viridiplantae; Streptophyta; Magnoliopsida; Poales; Bromeliaceae. The record is from RNAcentral.